GCCCAAGAACUAAGCCUUUUCUCAAUAGCACUCACUCAGCAGACAGCAAGCAGCCAAGCACAAAGUCACAACUCACAAAUCUGCCAUCGGGUUCUCAACUUCUCAUUUCUCAAUCUGAAUCUCAGAUUUUCAAACGGGAAAAUCCACCAUUUUUGCUAUCCAUUUCUCUUCCAGCACACUAAUUGACUAAUACCCAGAGGCCAGGUUUAAUGCAAAUGGAGAUUUUUGGAGAGAAGAAAUGGAUAUAAUAUAAAUAGAGAAUGUUAAAGACUUACAUUUCAAUUAUGUGUUAAUUUCAAGACUUAUGUAAUGCUUUUAAUUAUGUAGUGAUUCAAAGACUUAUGUAAUGUUUUUAAUUAUGUAGUGAUUCAAAGACUUAUGUAAUGUUUUUAGUUAUGUAGUGAUUCAAAGACUUAUGUAAUUUUUUUAAUUAUGUAGUGAUUCAAAGACUUAUGUAAUUUUUUUAAUUA
Long non-coding RNA from Gossypium raimondii (Peruvian cotton), 470 nucleotides. RefSeq lists it as uncharacterized. NCBI's taxonomy places the organism in Eukaryota, Viridiplantae, Streptophyta, Magnoliopsida, Malvales, Malvaceae. The record is from RefSeq and is a predicted model, not a curated record. The transcript is spliced from 2 exons.